GAUGAAGAACGUAGCGAAAUGCGAUAAGUAAUGUGAAUUGCAGAAUUCAGUGAAUCAUCGAAUCUUUGAACGCACAUUGCGCCCUCUGGUAUUCCGGGGGGCAUGCCUGUUCGAGCGUCAUUAUAACCACUCAAGCUCUUGCUUGGUAUUGGGGUUCGCGGUUUCGCGGCCCCUAAAAUCAGUGGCGGUGCCUGUCGGCUCUACGCGUAGUAAUACUCCUCGCGAUUGAGUCCGGUAGGUCUACUUGCCAGCAACCCCUAAUUUUUUUAAGGUUGACCUCGGAUCAGGUAGGGAUACCCGCUGAACUUAAGCAUAUCAAUAAGCGGAGGA
RNAcentral lists this unclassified non-coding RNA (330 nucleotides) under soil metagenome. RNAcentral describes it as "partial contains 5.8S ribosomal RNA, internal transcribed spacer 2, and large subunit ribosomal RNA". The stretch from base 1 to 120 matches the Rfam family "5.8S ribosomal RNA", at positions 35 to 154 of the family's 154-position model. The record is from RNAcentral.